This is a small nucleolar RNA of Gossypium arboreum, 83 nucleotides long. It matches the Rfam family "Small nucleolar RNA J33". Rfam says of the family: J33 is a member of the C/D class of snoRNA which contain the C (UGAUGA) and D (CUGA) box motifs. Most of the members of the box C/D family function in directing site-specific 2'-O-methylation of substrate RNAs. The record is from Rfam. NCBI's taxonomy places the organism in Eukaryota, Viridiplantae, Streptophyta, Magnoliopsida, Malvales, Malvaceae.
CAGUUAGGGGAAUGAUGUAUUACUACAGGGCUCUUAAAAUGCUUUCGUUUCUUGAUUCAGCAUCUGAGAUGGACAUACGAAUG